GACGAACGCUGGCGGCGUGCUUAACACAUGCAAGUCGAACGGAAAGGCACUGCAUUUGUGGGGUGCUCGAAUGGCGAACGGGUGAGUAACACGUGUGUAACCUGCCCUUGACUUUGGGAUAACUACAGGAAACUGGGGCUAAUAACGGAUCGUAGCUUCGGCUGCAUGGUGGGGGUUGGAAAGUUUCGGCGGUUGGGGAUGGAUGCGCGGCUUAUCAGCUUGUUGGUGGGGUAGUGGCUUACCAAGGCUUGGCCGGGUAGCCGGCAUGGGAGGGUGACCGGCCACAUUGGGACUGAGAUACGGCCCAGACUCCUACGGGAGGCAGCAGUGGGGAAUAUUGCACAAUGGGCGGAAGCCUGAUGCAGCAACGCCGCGUGCGGGAUGACGGCCCUCGGGUUGUAAACCGCUUUCGCCUGAGACGAAGCGUGAGUGACGGUAAUGGGUAAAGAAGCACCGGCUAACUACGUG
Molecule: ribosomal RNA, 468 nt
Filed under: uncultured bacterium
Lineage: Bacteria
Description: partial 16S ribosomal RNA
Rfam family: Bacterial small subunit ribosomal RNA
Source: RNAcentral